RNAcentral lists this ribosomal RNA (298 nucleotides) under uncultured bacterium. RNAcentral's name for it is "partial 16S ribosomal RNA". It matches the Rfam family "Bacterial small subunit ribosomal RNA", at positions 475 to 776 of the family's 1533-position model. The record is from RNAcentral.
CUAUGCGCCUUGCCAGCCCGCUCAGGUGUGCCAGCCGCCGCGGUAAUACGGAGGAUGCGAGCGUUAUCCGGAUUUAUUGGGUUUAAAGGGUGCGUAGGCGGUCCGUUAAGUCAGCGGUAAAAUUGCGGGGCUCAACCCCGUCGAGCCGUUGAAACUGUCAGACUUGAGUUGGCGAGAAGUACGCGGAAUGCGCGGUGUAGCGGUGAAAUGCAUAGAUAUCGCGCAGAACUCCGAUUGCGAAGGCAGCGUACCGGCGCCACACUGACGCUGAGGCACGAAAGCGUGGGGAUCGAACAGG